CCACUUCGGUGGGGAUUAGUGGCGAACGGGUGAGUAACACGUGGGCAAUCUGCCCUGCACUCUGGGACAAGCCCUGGAAACGGGGUCUAAUACCGGAUACUGACCCUCGCGGGCAUCUGCGAGGUUCGAAAGCUCCGGCGGUGCAGGAUGAGCCCGCGGCCUAUCAGCUUGUUGGUGAGGUAAUGGCUCACCAAGGCGACGACGGGUAGCCGGCCUGAGAGGGCGACCGGCCACACUGGGACUGAGACACGGCCCAGACUCCUACGGGAGGCAGCAGUGGGGAAUAUUGCACAAUGGGCGAAAGCCUGAUGCAGCGACGCCGCGUGAGGGAUGACGGCCUUCGGGUUGUAAACCUCUUUCAGCAGGGAAGAAGCGAAAGUGACGGUACCUGCAGAAGAAGCGCCGGCUAACUACGUGCCAGCAGCCGCGGUAAUACGUAGGGCGCAAGCGUUGUCCGGAAUUAUUGGGCGUAAAGAGCUCGUAGGCGGCUUGUCACGUCGGUUGUGAAAGCCCGGGGCUUAACCCCGGGUCUGCAGUCGAUACGGGCAGGCUAGAGUUCGGUAGGGGAGAUCGGAAUUCCUGGUGUAGCGGUGAAAUGCGCAGAUAUCAGGAGGAACACCGGUGGCGAAGGCGGAUCUCUGGGCCGAUACUGACGCUGAGGAGCG
This 665-nucleotide ribosomal RNA is filed under the name Streptomyces tendae. Its description in RNAcentral is "bacterial SSU rRNA". It matches the Rfam family "Bacterial small subunit ribosomal RNA", at positions 75 to 755 of the family's 1533-position model. The record is from RNAcentral. Lineage: Bacteria; Bacillati; Actinomycetota; Actinomycetes; Kitasatosporales; Streptomycetaceae.